UACGAACUGCGCGAACGUUAUUCGGAAUCACUGGGCUUACAGGGUGCGUAGGUGGCAUUGAAAGUAGGGUGUGAAAUGCCUUGGCUCAACCAAGGCACAGCGCUCUAAACUACUUUGCUUGAGUAGGUCAGGGGUGCACGGAACUUCCGGUGGAGCGGUGAAAUGUGUUGAUAUCGGAAGGAACACCGGCGGCGAAAGCGGUGCACUGGGGCUUAACUGACACUGAGGCACGAAAGCCAGGGGAGCGAACGGG
Molecule: ribosomal RNA, 253 nt
Filed under: uncultured bacterium
Lineage: Bacteria
Description: partial 16S ribosomal RNA
Rfam family: Bacterial small subunit ribosomal RNA
Source: RNAcentral